AGAGUUUGAUCAUGGCUCAGGACGAACGCUGGCGGCGUGCCUAAUGCAUGCAAGUCGCACGCAUCCACUUCGGUGGGUGAGUGGCGCACGGCUGAGGAACACGUGGAUACCUGCCCGACCGUGGGGGAUAACUCGGCGAAAGCCGCGCUAAUCCCGCAUACGAUUCUCACUCACGUGAGAAAGAAAGCAGUAAUGCGCGGUCGGAGGGGUCUGCGGCCCAUCAGGUCGUUGGCGGGGUAACGGCCCACCAAGCCGAUGACGGGUAGCUGGUCUGUGAGGACAACCAGCCAGACUGGGACUGAGAUACGGCCCAGACUCCUACGGGAGGCAGCAGCAAGGAAUUUUCCCCAAUGGGCGCAAGCCUGAGGGAGCAACGCCGCGUGGAGGACGACGGCCUUCGGGUUGUAAACUCCUUUUGGGGGAGACGAUAAUGACGGUACCCCCCGAAUCAGCCCCGGCUAACUCUGUGCCAGCAGCCGCGGUAAUACAGAGGGGGCAAGCGUUGUCCGGACUGACUGGGCGUAAAGCGCGCGCAGGCGGUUCGAGGCGUCGGUGCUGAAAGUCCACCGCUUAACGGUGGGAAGCGCGCCGAUACGCUCGAACUGGAGGGCGGGCGAGGGUGGUGGAAUUGCCGGUGUAGUGGUGAAAUGCGUAGAGAUCGGCAGGAACACCAGUGGCGAAGGCGGCCACCUAGCCCGCACCUGACGCUGAGGCGCGACAGC
Molecule: ribosomal RNA, 722 nt
Filed under: uncultured bacterium
Lineage: Bacteria
Description: bacterial SSU rRNA
Rfam family: Bacterial small subunit ribosomal RNA
Source: RNAcentral